UGCCUGAUUAAAUCAAAAUCCUAACUCAAUCGACAAAUGUGAAUAAAAUUACAAAAAAUUGCAAAAUUGAUGAAAAAGCCCUUAAAUUGACUCAAAACAGAAAAAUGCUAAAACGUACCACUAAACAAUGGAAUUUGACCCCAAAACCAUGACCUUGUCAUACAAAAAAUUUGUACAGAAUUGAAAACUAGGAUUGAGCUUGCUCAUGAAAAUCUGACAGCCAAACUAAAAGUUAUUCACAUUUUCGUAUAUCUAUUCUAUUUUUCCUCUUUUCCAUCUGAUUUGUGAUUUCUCUUCUAACUGUUUCACAUCAAAAAGCAUUCUUGAAUCGGAGUGGAUUCACGAGCUUGAUUUUGGGUAAUAUAUGAGAUUUAAUUAUUUCCAUAAGCUUUAUGUUUUGGAUAAAAUGAUAAAAAUACCUUACAUCAGUUGGUAUUAGAGCUGGAAUUCCAUUCUCAAGUUGAUACUGGAGCAAUAGCUUGCUUGAAGAAGGAUGGGACCAAGGGAGUGAGCUUCGGCCAAACUCUUAACUUUUAUUCUUAGUGAUAUAAGUGGAUAUCAUUAG
RNAcentral lists this long non-coding RNA (565 nucleotides) under Olea europaea subsp. europaea. The record is from RNAcentral. Lineage: Eukaryota; Viridiplantae; Streptophyta; Magnoliopsida; Lamiales; Oleaceae.